This is a non-coding RNA of Oryctolagus cuniculus (rabbit), 7255 nucleotides long. The record is from RefSeq and is a predicted model, not a curated record. NCBI's taxonomy places the organism in Eukaryota, Metazoa, Chordata, Mammalia, Lagomorpha, Leporidae.
CCGGAGUUGGCGCGUCCCCGGAAGGGCGGAGCUCGCAGCCGCCUGGGGUUUUGUUCCCUUCGCGAGGGUGCGCAGUGGGGACGAGGCGCGGCCGAAACCCGAGGUCGAGAAGGCGACCGGGUGCCCAGGGCUGGCUGCGAAGUUAGGCAGAGUUAGACAGUGAGAGAGAGAAACAGAGAGAAAGGUUUUCCUUCUGUUGGUUCACCCCCCAAAUGGCCGCUAUGGUUGGCACGCUUAGCUGAUCCGAAGCCAGGAGCCAGUUGCUUCCUGUCCACUGCCCUCCCGUGCCACAGCAGAGAGCUGGACUAGAAGAGGAGCAACUGGGCAGAACCGGUGCCCCAACCGGGACUAGAAUCCGGGGUGCCAGCACCGCAGGCGGAGGAUUAGGCAUGUGAACCACGGCGCCAGCCACUAAAGUAUAAUUUUCAAAAAGUGCCCUCAUAUGGACACCACCUCUCUUGGAGCAUUUUGAACACUGGAUCGCAGGAGCGAUUUUGGAGAGACUCCUGGAUUUGAAAGAAAACCACAUUUUGGAAUAGCCGGCUGUUCAGAUGAUUUCCAUGUAUAGAUGCUAAAUAGUCCUGACGCGCUGUAUGGAGCUGGGCUUCCUCGAACACCUCCGAGUUAGAUAAUUCAGCAUUCCAUGCAGCAGUGAAAAUUUAGCACUUUAAAUCUGGCUGGAGUGUGGAGAGAGACUGGCAUGUUAGAUUUAGUACAACUGUAGAAUUAAUGCUAAAAACUCCCAUGCCACACAGUUUUCCCAUAUGCUACAUAAAAAUGCUAUAUAGUUUCUCACUCAAAAGCUGCUACAUUAGGGUGCUAGCUGAUUUUAUGCCUUCAACUUGCUUAAUGUUUUCAUGUAUAUACAAUAGUUUUACACUAUGUCAGUCAAACAAUCUAUUGCAAAAUAAUUUACAGUAAAAUCAUAAUAAAUGUAUACGGAGUAUUGAUGUAGCAUUAAUUUUCAAACUGUGAAAGUCAAUGAGCCGUAAAUCUGUAAAUAAAUUGGUGAAGCAAAAGACAUAAAUGACAAAAAAAUUAGUCACUGUGUUGUGUAUGUGCUUUUUAGAUAGCUAUCUGGGGAAAAUAUAUGGGAGGAGACUUCAUAAAAUUUUAAAUUAGUGACAUAAAAAUAACAUAAUGCACAAAGAAACUGACUAUCUGCACAAAAUUGUGAGGAGAACCAGCCGAGAACCUGGUUCAUAAUCUUGACUUACUGGCAGCUGAAAGAUACUCUGCAAAGGAAGGCAUCUUCACACUCCCAGGCUUCCAAAAAAUUUUGGAGGCAAAUCUAUAGCACAAUCUAUUUAAUUCUGAGAAUAUCAUGUUUCUGUUUGUGUGCAUAUGUUUGAAUAUCUUCACUAUUUUAAAAGCCCAUGGGAAAGACAUCAGCUUGGCAAUCUAAUGGUCCUAACUCCUGUGGACAUUUGAAUCCUCUGCUACAGGGUUUGUAAGUGAAUGCCCAGCCUGGGUGUGAUCCCCUGCGGUGACGGGGAACUCACUGCCUCCUGAUACAUUAUCAUGUGUUUUGUUUGAGCCUUGACUGGUUAUUUAGAGAUUAUGGCAGUGCUUGUAGUUCAUCUUCUCUUUGGGCCAAAGGAAAGUUUUUUCCUAAGAUCAUACAUACUAGACUCUCAGCAGCCCAAUCUCAAUGGUGUCAGAAGGGCAUAAGAGAGACCAGACAAGAGAGUGAGUAAAUGAGUGAACAUACCAUCGUUGCCAGGAAGAAUCCAAAACCCCUUCAUUUUAACACAUUUAACUGAUAGUGGCUGCCUUCAUUAGUAUGGGGAAAAAUCGAGGUUUUUGUUUGGAAAAUUAUGUCUCAAGGCUGCAGAUUCCCAUCCAGAGUUCUGCGAUCCAGUUGAUUGGACUGGAUUAGAUUUAAUUCAUUUAUGCCGCCUUGACCCAGAGGCCAGGGGAAUGGGAUGCAUCAGGCCCUGUCCUGUGCUCUAACUCCAGAGCGAAAGACAAUGUCAGACCUGACUGCACUGACUGUGAGAGGGUGAGCGAGGCCGCACAGGAAAGCUGGGACUGAGACAGGGCUGCUGUGAAUGCAGUGCCGCAGUACACUGAGCAGCUCCAAGCAUCACCAUUUCCAUAGCCUGCAAUGUGAUUGGCGCCCAGUGGAGCUGUGCAGGACACACCCCGUAUGCAGUAACCCCAGCUGUGACUUGGCAAAGGAAUAAUAAAUGCUUGAAAGGCAAAUUACAAAUGUCUACCAGUUUGAUUAGCAUUAUUUGCUUGUCUGUUCCUAAAAGAGUUAACAGAAUCCUUAGGAUUCUCAAUCCAAUUCAUUUCUCUGAUGGUCUAUGAGUAUAGUCUGUUCCUACAACCCUGGUUUUGAACACCCCCCUAUUUUCCCCCUGCUACAAUGUACAUAAAGAGUGAUUGUCAUUUAAGGCUGCACGUGGGCCAUGUACAGUCCUGCAGUGUGUUCUAGAACUCUUCCCCUUGAUCACUCACUUAAGAAAGCACAAUUGCGGACCUGUGGGUAUCAGGGGAGAGGAGAGCCGCAGGCCUGGUGGGGCGUGCAGUGUCCUGUGAAGAGCAGGGCACACCAAGUGAAAUGGGAGAUGCAGGGGGUGCCUGCAAGGAGUGACUGGUGUUUCAAUCCCAGGUGGACAGCUUCUCUGGCAACAUACCUCAUCUCUCACCUGUGCAUGUCUGAGCAAGGGAGGAGUGAGCAGGAGAGAUGCUGGGGCAGAGACAGGGUCUGGUGGAACAGCCCACAUCCCCAUGCAUCAGGAUGAGGAGACAAGCAUUUCCCAAAGGUGUGCGUGCAACUACCCAUCCAAGAGACCUAUCCUGACUGGAGAUUCCCCAGCACCAAGAGGCUGUGUGUGUCCACUAAUGCUAAGACGUGGGGACAGGGUGACAGAAGCUAAGCUGGAGCUGGGCUUCCCAGGCCUGGGAAUGGAAUUGUGACCACCAAGCUCUCAAAGAACUCACACAGUAGUGUCAGGAGGGAGUAGGCACCUGGGUACCUCCCACAUGGAAGAACCUGUGGUGGUUGUGGUGCUGAACUGCCCAGUCACCAUCCCAGGAAGUGUUUGGUGCAGGGGAACAGUGGCUGACAACCUGUGGCUACCGUGUCUUCAGGAUGCAGUGUCUGAGCUGGGGUGUGUGCUGUUCUUGGGUCGCCCCCAGCCAGUGACAGCACAUGGGGAUACUAAGACCUGGCCAUUUCUGCCCAGACUGUGAGUGUUCCAGAGCCCCCGAGCUUAGCUGAGACUGUGUUCAAACUGUGUCACAGUCCAUGGUUUUCUCUGUUGGGUCCUGCAUCUCUCACCCCACCUUUUAUCUUUGGCAAGUUAAACCCUCGAUAAACCUCAUGUCCUCCUAACUCUGCCACAGCAUUGUCUUGGAGGUCUUGAACUAACACAGUAUCCUCAACCAGUUAGCGUUCACCAGAGAAAUGAUGGCAACUUACACCCCUGCCCAGUUAAACAAAGGGAGCUGCCCCUCAGCCAAGGCCUCAGCUAGACAAAACCCAGAGUGGAGAGGGCAAGGCUUGCAAUUGCUGACGAAAUACAUUUGUUCUGAGAAAGAGAGAAGCUAAGGGACCCGUUUUUGAAUGGCAAGUUCCAGAGGCCAAGACAAAGGAUGGCCAAGCAGUACAGCUCAGAUGCAUGCGUAACACCUGCGUAUGUUGAUGUGUGAGGGGUGCAGUCACAGGCUUAUAGCCAUAAAUGAAUGAGCUAAUUGAACACCAGAUAUUUCUUGGCUCUUGAAUUUUAAUCAUACCGACAGGAGUAUUUCCCUAACAGUAUGAAAAGCUGAUUUCAAACCAACAGCCAAUAAAACACUUCCUAGUAAAACAUGACGAAUAUUUUCAUUAAGAUCAGGAGUGCCACAAAAUGUCCAUAAAUUCCAUUGUUUUAUGAUAUUAUUCUGGAAAUGCUUACCAAUAUGAUGAUGUAUAAAAUAAAAAUAUGAUUAACAAAUUAUGACACACCCAUAAAUGAAAUAUGUUACAGUGGGAUGUUUCUAAGAAUUUUAAGACAUGAGAAAUAUAUAAUUUUAUUGUGAAUGAAAAUUUAGUUUGCAAAACUCUGUGCCCAUGGUCAAAGUUAACCUAGUCAGUCAUGAGACAUUCUGGCCUCUCGUGCCCCUCUGAGGGGGGACAUGGAGACCAACAUCUCAUUACUCAUGGCAUUUGGCAUUUGGGCCAAAAAAAAGCAUCACUUGAACUUAGUCAUGAUGAGGCAUCAAAUUAAGGGAAGUUCUACAAGAUGACCAAUCUUUAUUCAAAAAGGUCAUUAUCAAGAAACCCUAAUAUUAAAAUUUUGAAGAAUCUGGGUGAAGGACAGAAGGUAGUUCUUUGUGUAAUUUUUGCUACUUUCCUAUAAGUCUGCAAUCAUGCAAGUAAACACUUAAGAGAAAAAGUCCUAUAUGAUAUUUGUUUUAUGUUAUGAAGUUAAAAGACUGGGAAGAACUAUACUAGACUACUUUUCUUAGUUGAAACAUUUUGAAAGAUAUUUGGUAUAUUCUGUCUAUGAACUGUGUGUGUGUAUUACACAUUAUAAUAUACAUGUAUAAAAGUCUAUGAUUUUUUAAACAGAGCUAUUUGUGCUUGCAUUUUAAUGCCUGCAGAUAAAUGCCUAUAAAUAAAACAAGUUCCUUUUUUACUUGCCUCUUUGACUCUGCUAUUUUCAAUGUUUUAUAUCAGUGUGAUGAUGAAAGAAUUUUUUUAUCCAAAAUUGAUUUGCAAAUGAUUACUCACUAGCCUGCAUCAAACAGUCAUAUGAGUGCACUGAACUAUGGGGAAUUAUGAUUUUAUUCCCUCCCCUCUGCCUGUAACCUUAUUAAAAAGGCUAACUUUUUACAUUAGUAAUGUUACAUUUGGGUAUAAAAGAGCAGACUAGGCCAGCGCCGCAGCUCACUUGGCUAAUCCUCCACCUGCGGUGCCGGCACCCUGGGUUCUAGUUCCAGUUGCAGCGCCAGAUUCUGUCCCGGUUGCUCCUCUUCCAGGCCAGCUUUGUGCUGUAGCCCAGAAGGGAGUGGAGGAUGGCCCAAGUGCUUGGGCCCUGCACCCACAUAGGAGACCAGGAAGAAGCACCUGGCUCCUGGCUUCGGAUCAGUGCAGCGCGCCGGCUGUAGCGGCCAUUUGGGGGGUGAACCAAUGGAAAAGGAAGACCUUUCUGUCUCUCACUGUCUAACUCUGCCUGUCAAAAAAAAAAAAAAAAGGCAACCUAAAUCAUUUGUGCAUAAUGUCAUGUUCAUGUGAUGUGGUAUGCCUUUAAGUGAAGCAAAGUAUUCGUUGCUAAGAAAUAUCAAAUGUGUGAUUAUUUUUAUAUCAGGCUUUUUAUAAUAAAAUUUCCUAAAGAGGUUGCCUAGCACCUGGAUCCCACAAAAUCCAGGCUAUAGAUCUCAGAUCUACAAAUCAACAAUUUGAUCUCUAUAUAGAUGCAUUUCAUUAUAUGCCUUAUAAUAAAUUUAAAACUCUGCAGGUUUUAUAUUCUUUUCAAUAGAACUAUAAAAUCCUAGUCCAGAGUUGUCAACUCAGCCCCAUGUCUCUGGGCAGAUCCAUAGUUAAGUCACCCUGUGCAGGUCACUAUCCACCCCAGUGAAAGUCUGUGAUGUACUCAGGAAUCCAUCCUUGGAAGGAUCUUUCAUCAGCAACUUCCUCAUGUCUACUUCCUUUCAGUUUAAUCCUACGUCAUCUGACUUUGUGAUCCAUGUAGGAAUUUAUCCUACUGCAGAAAUUCACACAGCAAAUGUCCUUAUGCCAUCGUCUCAUUUUACUCACUAUCAUCCUGAUGGGAAAACAUUGCUUCAUUUCAUAUUCAUCAUUAAUGCUAUUUGCAUUUCCUUCCUUCUGUUCUAUCAGAGUGUAAUGAUUUGCUAUUACAAUGUUACAUUUACUUGGUAUCUGUAUAUGGUGCAAUAUUUUGACAAACCGAAAAGUAUCCUUCAUGCAUUGAUCUAUAAUUUCUGAAUAUACUAGGUUGUAGUAUCUUGCACUCAUACAGAUGACUUAUGUGGAAUUAUAUUACUGAAGAAUGUUGAAAUAGAUGUAGAUCAGAGAAUAGGAUCAUCCAGCGUUUCUCCAUGAUUUCUAGUGAUGCGUCAUUUUACCGAUGUGUGAUUGCUAUCGGUAUAUGGCACAGAAACGAACGUGAAUAAUGAUGUAGUCACCGUGCUUCAUCUCUCAUUCAUAAAAUGCCCCUGCUAGUUCUCUUAUCUGCCUGGACAGCAUGCUGUCCAGAAUUCUCUUUCCCUGCCAAGCUGAACCAGAUCACCUGGGCGUUUCACAGAAGCAGGGCUGAGGAUGAGGGAAGUAUUCAGGGUACGAGGCACAUAGGUACCGGCCCAUGGGGAACAUCAAGAGACAAGUGAAGGGUGCUGGAAGCCACACAAGGAAGUUUGAGUUUGGAAUUUAUCCUUUUGAAGACUUGAUCAAAGCAUUAUGCAGGGAGAUUGAAGGAAUGUUGUGCAGAGUUAGAUUUUAGAAAGAGCUCUCCACACGAGAGCAGUGGAAUUAGAGGGGUGAGUGGGUAGGAGUUGGGAUGCGAAAAAUGGCAAAGACUUGAUCCAUGGCAGCAGUGUGGGAAUGAAGUGAAAGGGCUGGCAUUGAGAAUUUUUAAGGAGAUAGAGUGAAGAAAAUUGGGUGGGUGGUUGAAUAUGGAAAGAGCAAAAGAGAUAAGGAUGACUGCCAGUUUCUGAUACACACCUUGGGAUGUAUGGUGAUGCCAGAGGCUGCUACGCUACAUUGCCUCCCUAAAUCUUACCAUUUGCGGCUUGAGUUAUCAGACGUGAUUCUUUGUUGAUAGUAAUGGACACCUUCUCUUGCUAUCUUGCGUAAAAGAGUAAUUCUGGAAGGAGUGAGUGACAAAGCUUUAAGUUACCCAAUUUCUAUUCUUUUGUUUUUACUUAGUUUUAAAACUCUUGGCACAUGGUCUACAAAAAUAAGGACCACAUUUCCCAGCCUCCCUUGCAGCUAGGUCUGGCCAUGUGAUUAGGUUCUGAUCAAUGGGAUAUAAGUGGACACAGUAUACGCAAUGCACUAGACUUCUUCACUUCUUUCAUUACAUAUGUGAAGACUGGAGCUCCAUCUUGGCCCAUACGUUAGGGAUAGCAAAGCAGAGAGCUUGAAGCAUUCUGAGUUCCAGAUGCCUGUAUUCAAACUGUAGCAGGAUUCGUAUACUGAGACAUGAUACCAAGGCCUCUUAGCUUUGAUUGGAAAGAAAGAAAUUUGUGCCCUGAUUAAGCGCCUGUUAUUUUUGUUACCUGCAACUGAAUCCAUAUCUCAAUA